UACGGGGGGGGCAAGCGUUGUUCGGAAUUACUGGGCGUAAAGGGCGCGUAGGCGGCCUGUUAAGUCGAACGUGAAAUCCCCGGGCUCAACCCGGGAACUGCGUCCGAUACUGGCAGGCUUGAAUUCGGGAGAGGGAAGCGGAAUUCCGGGUGUAGCGGUGAAAUGCGUAGAUAUCCGGAGGAACACCGGUGGCGAAGGCGGCUUCCUGGACCGACACUGACGCUGAGGCGCGAAAGCUAGGGGAGCAAACGGG
This 253-nucleotide ribosomal RNA is filed under the name uncultured bacterium. Its description in RNAcentral is "partial 16S ribosomal RNA". It matches the Rfam family "Bacterial small subunit ribosomal RNA", at positions 524 to 776 of the family's 1533-position model. The record is from RNAcentral.